This is a long non-coding RNA of Juglans microcarpa x Juglans regia, 509 nucleotides long. RefSeq lists it as uncharacterized. The transcript has 2 exons. Lineage: Eukaryota; Viridiplantae; Streptophyta; Magnoliopsida; Fagales; Juglandaceae. The record is from RefSeq and is a predicted model, not a curated record.
UCAACUGCUUUCCAAGGUUGAGGAUGGUCUCCUGGCACUCUGCCAACUUUUCUGAAGCAGCUGUAAUCUCCCAAUCCUGCAAGAUUGAUCAACAGCACUUCACUACCAAGUAAUCUGUAAGAUGCAAACUAAGCGCUAGGUACUGGACCUACUGGCUUGCAAAGGAUGCAUUAGAAGAUCAGCUAAUCAAUUUCGAGGUGAAAUUAGUGGCAGAGAAAAACUGAUCGAGCAAAAUGUUAAUGAACUACCUCUUCUUCAUUUCCUUUUGCAGAGUUGUGUAUGUUUUGGUCAGCUGGGGCACUGGUCUUCUCUGAAGAUUUCUUCCUCCAAAGCCAUGUCUUGUUGUCCAUUAUACUUCCCAGUCCAGUUUGAGUAGUAUAAUGAAUUUAUAAAAAGAAUCUGCAUGGAAACAUGAAAGAGGAAUUUGUAUGACUGGUGUUUCAUAUCAGCAACUAAUGCUGAUCACACAUUCAUAAUAUCGGUAGUCAAGAUGAUAACUUUUCUUGCAA